This 497-nucleotide ribosomal RNA is filed under the name uncultured bacterium. RNAcentral's name for it is "partial 16S ribosomal RNA". It matches the Rfam family "Bacterial small subunit ribosomal RNA", at positions 28 to 507 of the family's 1533-position model. The record is from RNAcentral.
GAUGAACGCUGGCGGCGUGCCUAAUACAUGCAAGUCGAGCGAACAGACGAGGAGCUUGCUCCUCUGACGUUAGCGGCGGACGGGUGAGUAACACGUGGAUCACCUACCUAUAAGACUGGGAUAACUUCGGGAAACCGGAGCUAAUACCGGAUAAUAUAUUGAACCGCAUGGUUCAAUAGUGAAAGACGGUUUUGCUGUCACUUAUAGAUGGAUCCGCGCCGCAUUAGCUAGUUGGUAAGGUAACGGCUUACCAAGGCGACGAUGCGUAGCCGACCUGAGAGGGUGAUCGGACACACUGGAACUGAGACAAGGUCCAGACUCCUACGGGAGGCAGCAGUAGGGAAUCUUGCGCAAUGGGCGAAAGCCUGAAGGAGAAACGCCGCGUGAGUGAUGAAGGUCUUCGGAUCGUAAAACUCUGUUAUUAGGGAAGAACAAAUGUGUAAGUAACUAUGCACGUCUUGACGGUACCUAAUCAGAAAGCCACGGCUAACUACGUG